AUGAACGCUGGCGGCGUGCCUAAUACAUGCAAGUCGAGCGAACAGACGAGGAGCUUGCUCCUCUGACGUUAGCGGCGGACGGGUGAGUAACACGUGGAUAACCUACCUAUAAGACUGGGAUAACUUCGGGAAACCGGAGCUAAUACCGGAUAAUAUAUUGAACCGCAUGGUUCAAUAGUGAAAGACGGUUUUGCUGUCACUUAUAGAUGGAUCCGCGCCGCAUUAGCUAGUUGGUAAGGUAACGGCUUACCAAGGCGACGAUGCGUAGCCGACCUGAGAGGGUGAUCGGCCACACUGGAACUGAGACACGGUCCAGACUCCUACGGGGGGCAGCAGUAGGGAAUCUUCCGCAAUGGGCGAAAGCCUGACGGAGCAACGCCGCGUGAGUGAUGAAGGUCUUCGGAUCGUAAAACUCUGUUAUUAGGGAAGAACAAAUGUGUAAGUAACUAUGCACGUCUUGACGGUACCUAAUCAGAAAGCCACGGCUAACUACGUG
RNAcentral lists this ribosomal RNA (496 nucleotides) under uncultured bacterium. RNAcentral describes it as "partial 16S ribosomal RNA". It matches the Rfam family "Bacterial small subunit ribosomal RNA", at positions 29 to 507 of the family's 1533-position model. The record is from RNAcentral.